CACAAGCAGCGGAGCGUGUGGUUUAAUCGAUGUUACACGAAGAACCUUACCAGGGUUUGACAUGCAAGUGGUAGGAAGCCGAAAGGUGACCGACCCUUCGGGGAGCUUGCACAGGUGCUGCAUGGCUGUCGUCAGCUCGUGUCGUGAGAUGUUCGGUUAAGUCCGCUAACGAGCGCAACCCUCGCUGUGUGUUAUAUGUGUCACACGGGACUGCCGGUCUUAAGCCGGAGGAAGGUGGGGAUGAUGUCAAGUCAGCAUGGCCUUUAUAUCCUGGGCUACACACACGCUACAAUGGCCAACACAAUAGGUUGCUAAGCCGCGAGGUGGCGCCAAUCCAUAAAGUUGGUCUCAGUUCAGAUUGUAGGCUGCAACCCGCCUGCAUGAAGAUGGAGUUGCUAGUAACCGCAGGUCAGCAAUACUGCGGUGAAUACGUUCCCGGGUCUU
This 444-nucleotide ribosomal RNA is filed under the name uncultured Leptolinea sp. Its description in RNAcentral is "bacterial SSU rRNA". It matches the Rfam family "Bacterial small subunit ribosomal RNA", at positions 924 to 1382 of the family's 1533-position model. The record is from RNAcentral. Lineage: Bacteria; Bacillati; Chloroflexota; Anaerolineae; Anaerolineales; Anaerolineaceae.